AACGAACGCUGGCGGCAUGCCUAACACAUGCAAGUCGAACGAGACCUUUGGGUCUAGUGGCGCACGGGUGCGUAACGCGUGGGAAUCUGCCCUUGGAUUCGGAAUAACAGUGAGAAAUUGCUGCUAAUACCGGAUGAUGUCUUCGGACCAAAGAUUUAUCGCCCAGGGAUGAGCCCGCGUAGGAUUAGCUAGUUGGUGGGGUAAUGGCCUACCAAGGCGACGAUCCUUAGCUGGUCUGAGAGGAUGAUCAGCCACACUGGGACUGAGACACGGCCCAGACUCCUACGGGAGGCAGCAGUGGGGAAUAUUGGACAAUGGGCGCAAGCCUGAUCCAGCAAUGCCGCGUGAGUGAUGAAGGCCUUAGGGUUGUAAAGCUCUUUUACCAGGGAUGAUAAUGACAGUACCUGGAGAAUAAGCGCCGGCUAACUCCGUG
This 433-nucleotide ribosomal RNA is filed under the name uncultured bacterium. RNAcentral describes it as "partial 16S ribosomal RNA". It matches the Rfam family "Bacterial small subunit ribosomal RNA", at positions 29 to 507 of the family's 1533-position model. The record is from RNAcentral.